UGUCUGAAUGAAUGGAGAGCACUCAAAUGCCUUCUCAUACUCUUUGGAGUUUAACAAGUCAGCAGGGGGGUUUGCACACCAGCAGAUAUACAGCCAUACUGUAUAUUUACCUGCAGAUAGGUGUGUGUAGGAUAGUGGAUGGUGUAGGUAUGUGCAAGAAAACACACACGCACACACACACACACACACACACACACACACACACACACACAAGGAGAAAGAGAAAGAGCUUGCUCAAUACCCUGCGGGGAUCCACUUGAGAUAAAAUUCAGCAGCACUGAAUAAUACAGUCCAUUUAUCAAAGAAAACUCACUUACCCUGACACACGCACAUACACACACGUAUACUGUAUAUACAGCACUCUCAGAGGCUUGCUGUGAAGUGAAGGUGCCCUUGUGUCGGUGGUCAUUUAUCAGAAUAUGUGAUUCAAAGUGCUGUGGCAGGCGUAGCCCAGUGGUCUCUACUUGUGAAUUUCUUCUCAUAAUGCCACACUGGUGUGCCCCUGUAAUGUAAAACACUCUCUCCCCUGUGUUUGGAUUUGCAUCAUUUAGCCACGGCGAGGCCUGCAACAGGAGAAAUGCCACUACAGCAGGAGAAAGGACCAAAUAAACAAAAUAACUAUAUUUUAGCCCAGUAUGCCAUGACGUUUGGAGCAGGUACAAAUGUAGAGUGUGUUUUAUUAUUAGAGAGCUGCCAAGCUACAGUAGUUUAGUAUUAGUAGAGUAUUUCCAUUUAGACUUUUACUUCACCACAUUUCAUUGGAAAAUAUUGUACUACACUGACAGUGGUAGCUACAUACUAGUUACUUUAAAAGACUGAGAUUUAAAAUAAAAAACACAAGCUUAUAAAAGACACUGUUUUAUCAGAGAUGAAACCAGUUGGCUUGAAACUCUCUACUCUCUAAAAAAUGUUCUUGUCUUGUUUCAGAUGUCUAUGAGUCUAAACUUCUCAAAGAACUUAAAAAAGAGAAAGAACUUAGCAGAACUUUCUUCUCCCGUUAAUCAUCUCUCAGCCACUCAGAUUUAUCUUCUGACCCUUUGGAUGGACCCGACCCUUAGGUUGGGAAACACUGGACUAAAUUAGCUUAUUGUAUAUAAAGUAAUUAAAAACAAAUUCCACCUCAGCUAAAACAGUAAAAUGCUACUUGCAUAAUGAUGCAUAUCAUUUUUAUCACUCACAGGAGAACAGGGACUUUUACUUUUGAUACUUUAAGUACAUUUAGCUGGUGUAGUUUUAUUUAAGUAGGAUUUUGAAUGCAGGACCUUUACUUGUAUUGGAAAAAAAAUUACUAAAUUGAAAGUCUUUACAACUGAGCCCCUGAUAUUGUACACUACAGCAGGACAGUAAAAUGACAAAUUAUUGUAAUACACCCUAACCAGGGCUACAGUAGGUACACUCUCAUGGGCUCAGCCAGAGUAAUAUUUUGAUCCUUCCACAAUAAAACCCUGAUUGAUUUAGAAUGAUGUUGUGUUACAGCCAUGGCAGUUUGUCUGUAUUUCCCCAGUGUUUCCAGUUCUUUUCCCCCAGCCCUGUGUCUCUUGUCUUUCCCCUGUCUGUCUCUCUCGGUGUGUGUGUCUAUGUGUGUGGAUGUGGCUGCUCCUCCCAUCUCUCUCUACUGGCUCUUGGCUCCACUAUUCCCACUCACCUGACGUUCAUCUCCCAAUCAAUCCGCUCAGUAUACACACCUGCUUCCCAUCAGCUCAUCUCCUGCGGUACAUCUACUCCGGCUCUUCAGCCACUCAUCGCCACGUUGUUAUUUCAACCUCUGUGGACCACUGCUUGCCUAUUGCCCGUUUGUGGCCUGCCAGCCACGCUUCCUUCCACCACGCCAUCUCCACCGCCAUUACCUCCACUUCCUCCCUGCCUACUCUGGACCCCAAACCCUGGCCUUUCAUCCAUCAUCUCUUCCCCAUUAUCUAAUAAAGCCUUUUACUUUCAAACUCCUUGUCAGAGUCCUGUGUUUGAGUCUAGCCUUUUAGUAAUCGCAACAUGUUGAAGCUUUUAACUGAUAUUGUACAGAGACAUUAAAGGCAAAUGGAGAUUAACAAUAUGAUCUUGUUUUACAGCAGGAUAUAUGAAGUUCACUAUAAAGCUAAACCUGCGACAAGCUGCUAAACUGGUGUAUGAACCUACUGGUUAAAACACCAAGAAAGUCCAACUAAACAGAUCCAGAAAACCUUAGCUACUCAUACAGAGGGCUGCUAUCUCCUGACUGUUGUGUUGUUUUAUUUAACAGUUUAUUACUGAUGCAUAAUCUUUACAGCUGGAUGCACAUCUUGUCUGUUUGUUCUGCUCCCCCUUGGAAUCAGCACUAGUCAGUGUUUUAUUUUUUAAUUUUUUUGGCUGCAUAGAAGAGAGUUUGUUUUUUUUAUCAUGCAUAGCACAGGUGGGUGUUAUUUUAAUGGCUGCUCUGUGCUCACAAUGAUAAAAAAAUUGGAAAAAAUGAGCUACCCCUGAAGUUAAGAGACAUGUAUGUAAGAGAUAUACAUAAACACUUUCUUAGAAAAUGCUGUUUAUGUGCAUUUACCUACUUGUGAUCAUAACAAUCCCAGCUGAAUCCACCUAAAACAAUGAACAAACACAUUUUCAUGUUUCUCACCUGGCAUAUACAGUGUAUUAAUACUGCAAUAUAAACCCUUAAGUUGUAAUUGUCUGGACAUAAUACGGUACAGAUCUUUUCCAGAUCAAAUACAGAAAAUUAAACAAAGUCUCCAAGUAAGUUUACACACACACACACACACACACACACACACACACACACACACACACCACUCAACUAGCACCAUGCUCUGGAUCAGCUGAUGCACCAACCGGCCGAUCGAUUUACAUGUAAGCUGUCAACUGUACAUUCUCCGCUUCUGCAGCUACUACUGAUGCAUGUCACACCUUACUUGUUAUUACCGAGUCCCUCGACGUUUGUAAUCGAAGAACAGUGUUGGGAAUUGUAGAACCUUAUGGAUCCUUCUCCCAAUAGUUUAAUUCAAGCCACCAGCGAUCAGUGACAGUGAUAGGUGAUUUUGGAGCGCUAUAUGAUCACAACACUAUGGAUUAUAUAGAUUAAGCUAGAAGAACAGAAUUUUUAUUCUUUAUAUACAGACAUGAGUCACUUUCCACUUCAUAAGAGAUUCAUUCUUUCCCUUCAUUUUAAAAACUUUUUAUUUACGGCUGAACUUUGUUCUAAAUGUAAACCAGUAAUAUGUUUUUGGUAUCAUGUAUGACGUGUAAUUUGAAACAUGCAUGAUGUGUAACACACGGUGCUGUGCUGUCACCUAUAAGCACAAGGCACAGGCUUUCAACAGUGUCUGGGUCCACUUGAGUCUUCACAAAUAACACUGCUUCUGCAGGUUUUGAGGGUCAUGCAGUUUAAAGGUUAUCUGGUGGUGCGAAAUGAGUUACAAUCCAUUUCUCUGUAUUCGCUCCUCCACCACUCCACAUAUGGUCCAGUAGUAUAGUACCUACUGUACACAGGUCACUAGUCCUGUGCUGCCAUUGUUUCAGUCUUAAACGUUGAGUGCUCACCGACAAUGGGCUCCAGUGCUGUGUGUGCUUGACUAAAUGUGCUGAAUAUCAAGCUCUGUGUUUGCUGAUUACUGCUGCAUAUCAGACUGCUGGUACUCACAUUAAGGAUAAAAGCAGAGCAGACAAGAAGAACAUAAGGCUGAAAUUACCGAGUCAGAUCUUGUCAGGAGCAAAUCGUUGCAUUUCCUCACUGAAAAUUGUAAAUGUGGAAUAUUGGUGGGAGCUCCACUGGUUCAUGGCAUCGGACUGGCUGUCGCAGUUCCAGUUUUUGAUUAAUUGAUCUCUUCCUGUUAUUGCUUUUUGAUGGCUUUAAAUUAAGCUUUGCCAGGAGCCAAAAUAAUCUUUCAUUCUUAAUUACUACAUUAUUAUUCAGUGUGUGAGGUGACUGGCUGAGCACAAAAUGCUUAAAAAUAAAUGGAUAAUACAAUAUAUUUGUGACUAGUAUUUAAUCUUUGUGAGAACCAGUCAGUAGCUCCAUCAAUAGCUCAGCUGCAUGUCAUGUUGUUUUGCCCUUGUGCAAGACUCCUACCUCCCCCACAUACUCUGUAUCAGACUACAUAAAAGGAUAAAAGGCAAUCAUGCACAGUUUGUAUACAAUCUCAAGAAAAAUAUCAAAUCUCUGUGGUCAGGUCAGAAUAACAAUUCAAUCACGAGGACAGGCAUGCACCUGAAGGCAGGCAGACGUGCGCAAAGUGCAAUUGAUGCAAUAGCCAUCACAAUGUACCACUUGUUUUUAUUCCGGUAAGAAAAUUCUCUUAAUUUUCCAGCAGUGAGGAAGCACACAGACCCGCUUCUGUCCCCAAACUGAAAAUUAUAACACUAUAGAGUGCAAACUUUAGCAUCCAACAGAAACACUUUCAUGUCAUUAAGGUCAAUCUAUCUGGGGCACUACUGUGUGGAGUUCCUGGACACACUCACUCACACCCACACAACUACACACAGAAAUAAUUACAUGUCCUGUAAUUGUGUUUGUUAUGUUCAAAAUUUUUUCCACCUCAAUAUUUCCAUUGCUUUUAGCACACCAUCUUUGCUAAAUGAGAAGAAAAUGUAGAGACAUCCGUACAGCUGAAUGACAGAAUGGUGGAUCAGUACAGGCAAAACACACCUGUCUCCAAGUGUUGCUUCUGAUGUUUUUUUUUUUUUUUUUUUUGUUUUUUUUUUUUUAAAGGUGCAUUCACUUGUUGAGCCUCACUCAAACUGCACAGACAGUACAUCAGUGAAGGUUCAGAUUGAAGUGUGAAUAUGGACAGUUAUGAAACAGAAAAUACAUUUGCAUUGACACACAAA
This is a long non-coding RNA of Siniperca chuatsi (mandarin fish), 4806 nucleotides long. RefSeq lists it as uncharacterized. The record is from RefSeq and is a predicted model, not a curated record. NCBI's taxonomy places the organism in Eukaryota, Metazoa, Chordata, Actinopteri, Centrarchiformes, Sinipercidae. The transcript has 2 exons.